UCCCAGCUACUAGGGAGGCUGAGGCAGGAAAAUCGCUUGAACUCAGAAGGCGGAGGUUGCGGUGAGCUGAGAUCACGCCACUGCACUCCAACCUGGGCAACAGAGUGAGACUCUGUCUCAAACAAACAAACAAACAAAAUAACAGGUGAAGGAUGCCUAGAAAAAUUCCAAACUGAGCACACACAACUGAAGUUUUAACUUUCCCCCCUUAUUCCUCAAAAGUAGCCAACAAAACAAUCUUGAGGUUAGAUGGGGUUUGGCACAGGGAUCCAAAGCCUGCAGUCCUACUAGACUACCAGCUCCUCAGAGGCGGAGUGUGGCCUAUACAGUUUCACAGCCCCAGCCUCUCACAGUACCUGGCACAUGGUGGGUACCCAAUAAAUGCUGAAAUAAUCUAAGGUGAUUUGUCAGGGGCACUUUUCUGGUUACAAAACAAAACAAAACCCUUUCCUCAAGAGACCAAAGACUCUUAUUGAAACGUGCAAAGUCACCGGGAAGUUCUUAAAAGGAAAAGGACAGUCACAGCUCUAGGGCAACUGCUUGCCAACUAAUAAUGUGAGAUGAAAAGAGCUGGCUUUGGAAGUGUCAUGUGGCAACAAGCUGGGAGAAGGUGGGGGGUAUCACAGAUAAAGAAGAGCUGGUGACAAAACGCAAAGAGUAUGCACAUCUACAGUGAACCCCCACCUGGCAGGCUCACCCCCACGUGGAGGGAACGGCAAAAGUGGAUGAAAACUCUCUCACAAUCAUUUUUCCCCUAUUGCCUUCUUUCCGGAUACCAACUCUGCUUCUGCCCUCACCCAGCAAGUCUCCAUUUCUUCUCAUUUCCAACCCCCUUGCCUCUGACUCACUUACUAUUCCUGGAAUCUUCCCAGCCUACAUUUCUAAAAGAACUAUAGCUGCCACCAAUAGCUGUGGUCUGGAAAAGCUUCUUCCACAGGACUGCCAGUCCUCACAGAAAGAAGAAUUCCUGGUUUCGCAAGAUCAAGUUCCGUAUACAAGGCAAAGAAGCUCUUUAAGACACUCAGAUAAUUAAAGAGGGCUGGCUGACCUUCAAAUCCAUGAGUUUCAAUGGACUCAAGGAAGAAAGAAGAUGAGUAUCAUUUCCCGAGGUUUCACAGCAACACAAACCAACACAUGUACACACUCCUGCCUCUGCCCAGGUUUUCUCUACCCAGCCAGGGCUAGAGCACAGCUGCUUACUCACCUCGGAUUUCUCCAGCCUGUUUUGAGCCUCAAUCUGAGCCACGAUUUCAUUCAUGUUUGUUUCCAACACCAUCCCACCCAUCACCACCUCCUGGAGGAUGUAGUGCACCUAAAAGGGAAGCAAAAAUCAGGAGUCAGAAUACUCUGUGGUGGUCAGAGUGUAACCCACGAGGUUUCCUUUUCCUGCAGCAGCAGAGUGGUCAGAUAUGACCUGUCCUGACUCACAACUCAGACACUCAAACCCCCCUGCCCAGUGACACAACGAGGGGUCUCUCCCAGGUCUUGGCACAUGGCAACACGAAUCUCUCCCCUCAGCAGCGAGGUGGUAGCUAUGAGCACAGGCUUCAAAGUCUGACAGCUCUUGUUUAAAUUCUGGCUCUGCUACUUGCUAGCUGGGUGGCCCUGGGCAAAUGACCUUUAAAGUGCUUCAGCCUCCUUCCAGGAUUGCAGUGAGGACUGGAUGAGAUAAAUGUGUGUAAAGCACCUAGCCUGGUGCCCAGGACACACUGGGUUCUAAGUAAGGAAUGGUGGCUUUCAUUAUUAAUAUUACCAUCAUCAACACUGACUGUCAUUAAGUAGGUCCAGCUAUGACAGAAUAAUCCCUGUCCAAGCAACUGAAAUGAAUGUCUUCCACCUUCUAUAAGGCAGAUCCUCCAGCCUGUGCUCCACUGAAGGGACGUGAUCAGAGCAAGAUAGAGCCCAAUUCCUUUGCACCUCUCCUCACCUCAUUUCUUACUGCUUAGAUUAGAAAGCAGAUUCAGCAUAAACACCUUUCUAAGCAUAAGGGUCACAUUUGGGCUUAGGUUCCAUCUAGCUAGCAGUCAUCUAAACAAAGCUGAAUCUCAGUGUACCUAACUGCUGUGAUGGGACGGAGGUGACUCAACUACUGUACCCCUUUGUGGUAGGAAAGCUGUCACAGAAAGCCCUGGGUGGGUCAAAGCAGAGAUGCCCACUGUGGUUCAUAAGGAAUGGUACUCCAUAUUUCAAACCAAAUCACAUCAAAUGGCCCUCAAGGUGCUUUCGGUCAAGUUGGGAAGACAGCAAGUACAACCUUCUAUUGUUAACUAAGUGCCAAAUGACUGGGAUAGUCCUGGGGAAGUCAGAGAAGAAAGGGUACAGUGGCUAGAGAGAUCAGAGAGCUUCACAGAGACAGUGGGAGGAUGGAAGCUGGGCUCUGACAUUAGAGAGGUAGGGGAAAGAAUUUCAGGUAGAAGAUGUUGGAAGGAGCAAUUCAGCUGGUGUAUGGGCAGGUAUGGGGAGCUCCUGGGUCUGGCUGGGAUGGCAACUUUCUUUAUGCAGGAGAGAGGCUAAGACAAGGCUGAGAAGGUAAUUUGGGUCUGGAGCAGGGCUUCUCAGCCUAGGUACUAGUGACAUCUGGGACCAGAUAAUCCUCUGCUGUGGGGCUGUCCUGUCACUGUGGCCUGUUCUCUAGCAUCCCUGGUCUCUACUCCUCCAGCUUGACAAUCAAAAAUGUCUCCAGAAUUGUCAUAUGUGUUCCAGGGGGCAAAUUCACCCCAGCUGAGAACCACUGGUCCAGAGUCUAGAGUCAACCACCAGUUUACUCUGUCAGCAAUGCAGAGUCAAGAAGAAAGAUGUGUCUGCAUAUCUGGGCACUGUGCACUUCUGACAUCUGAAGUUCUCUGGCAUUGGCUCCCUGUAUUUUGCCCUCAGUAAGUGCAGGGAACUUCUGAUCUUGAGGACAGAGUAUAAUAAAUCAAAUGUAUUCCCUUG
Long non-coding RNA from Homo sapiens (human), 2934 nucleotides. RefSeq lists it as uncharacterized. The transcript is spliced from 2 exons. Lineage: Eukaryota; Metazoa; Chordata; Mammalia; Primates; Hominidae. The record is from RefSeq and is a predicted model, not a curated record.